This 20-nucleotide small RNA is filed under the name Arabidopsis thaliana (thale cress). RNAcentral's name for it is "Ath_wt_01146". The record is from RNAcentral. Lineage: Eukaryota; Viridiplantae; Streptophyta; Magnoliopsida; Brassicales; Brassicaceae.
GUGGUGUCCGGUGCGCCCCC